RNAcentral lists this ribosomal RNA (403 nucleotides) under uncultured Veillonella sp. RNAcentral describes it as "bacterial SSU rRNA". It matches the Rfam family "Bacterial small subunit ribosomal RNA", at positions 152 to 525 of the family's 1533-position model. The record is from RNAcentral. Lineage: Bacteria; Bacillati; Bacillota; Negativicutes; Veillonellales; Veillonellaceae.
GGAAACGACUGCUAAUACCGCAUACGACCUACGAUUGGCAUCAAUCGUAGGUGAAAGGUGGCCUCUACAUGUAAGCUAUCGUUGUAGGGAGGGGGAUUGCGUCUGAUUAGCUAGUUGGAGGGGGUAAACGGCCCACCAAGGGCGAUGAUCAGUAGCCGGUCUGAGAGGAUGAACGGCCACAUUGGGGACUGAGACACGGCCCAAACUCCUACGGGAGGCAGCAGUGGGGAAUCUUCCGCAAUGGACGAAAGUCUGACGGAGCAACGCCGCGUGAGUGAUGACGGUCUUCGGAUUGUAAAGCUCUGUUAAUCGGGACGAAUGGUUUGUGUGCAAAUAGUGCAUAGACAUGACGGUACCGGAAUAGAAAGCCACGGCUAACUACGUGCCAGCAGCCGCGGUAAAU